UCCGGUUGAUCCUGCCAGAGGCCGCUGCUAUCCGGCUGGGACUAAGCCAUGCUAGUCUAGGGGCUUGUACUCCUUCGGGGGUGCAAGCACCGGCGGACGGCUCAGUAACACGUGGACAACCUGCCCUCGGGUGGGGGAUAACCCCGGGAAACUGGGGCUAAUCCCCCAUAGGUGAUGGGUGCUGGAAUGCCCCAUCUCCGAAAGCGCUUAGCGCCCGAGGAUGGGUCUGCGGCGGAUUAGGUAGUUGGUGGGGUAACGGCCCACCAAGCCUAAGAUCCGUACGGGCUGUGGGAGCAGGAGCCCGGAGAUGGACCCUGAGACAAGGGUCCAGGCCCUACGGGGCGCAGCAGGCGCGAAACCUCCGCAAUGCGGGAAACCGCGACGGGGUUAGCCGGAGUGCCCGUGCAUUGCACGGGCUGUCGGGGUGCCUAAACAGCACCCCAUAGCAAGGGCCGGGCAAGGCCGGUGGCAGCCGCCGCGGUAAGACCGGCGGCCCGAGUGGCGGCCACUCUUAUUGGGCCUAAAGCGUCCGUAGCCGGCCCAGUAAGUCCCCCGGGAAAUCUGGUCGCUUAACGAUCAGACUUCCGGGGGAUACUGCUGGGCUAGGGACCGGGAGAGGCCGAGGGUAUUCCCGGGGUAGGGGUGAAAU
RNAcentral lists this ribosomal RNA (649 nucleotides) under uncultured archaeon. Its description in RNAcentral is "bacterial SSU rRNA". It matches the Rfam family "Archaeal small subunit ribosomal RNA", at positions 1 to 638 of the family's 1478-position model. The record is from RNAcentral.